AAAACGGUUUGCGCCGUCGACGAUUGCAGCUUCCUCUAUCUCUCUUGGAAACGCCUCGAAAAACUGUUUCAUCAAGAGGACGUUGGCUGAGGCGACGAAAACGACGAUUACGCUCCAGGGUGUGUUCAGAAGCGACAGAUCCCUGAAAAUCAGAUAGUUUGACA
RNAcentral lists this small RNA (164 nucleotides) under Sinorhizobium meliloti 2011. RNAcentral describes it as "putative ncRNA". The record is from RNAcentral. Lineage: Bacteria; Pseudomonadati; Pseudomonadota; Alphaproteobacteria; Hyphomicrobiales; Rhizobiaceae.